UACGUAGGGUGCAAGCGUUGUCCGGAAUUAUUGGGCGUAAAGAGCUCGUAGGCGGUUUGUCGCGUCUGCUGUGAAAACUCGGGGCUUAACCCCGGGCCUGCAGUGGGUACGGGCAGACUAGAGUCAGGUAGGGGAGAACGGAAUUCCUGGUGUAGCGGUGAAAUGCGCAGAUAUCAGGAGGAACACCGGUGGCGAAGGCGGUUCUCUGGGCCUGUACUGACGCUGAGGAACGAAAGCGUGGGGAGCGAACAGG
This 253-nucleotide ribosomal RNA is filed under the name uncultured bacterium. RNAcentral describes it as "partial 16S ribosomal RNA". It matches the Rfam family "Bacterial small subunit ribosomal RNA", at positions 524 to 776 of the family's 1533-position model. The record is from RNAcentral.